Molecule: transfer RNA, 73 nt
Filed under: Spirochaetaceae bacterium
Lineage: Bacteria; Pseudomonadati; Spirochaetota; Spirochaetia; Spirochaetales; Spirochaetaceae
Description: tRNA-Lys
Rfam family: tRNA
About the family: Transfer RNA (tRNA) molecules are approximately 80 nucleotides in length.
Source: RNAcentral
GGGCCGCUAGCUCAGUCGGUAGAGCAACGCCCUUUUAAGGCGUGGGUCGUGGGUUCGAUUCCCGCGCGGCUCA